GAUGAACGCUAGCUACAGGCUUAACACAUGCAAGUCGAGGGGCAUCAGGAAGAAAGCUUGCUUUCUUUGCUGGCGACCGGCGCACGGGUGAGUAACACGUAUCCAACCUGCCCUUUACUCGGGGAUGGCCUUUCGAAAGAAAGAUUAAUACCCGAUGGCAUAAUGAUUCCGCAUGGUUUCAUUAUUAAAGGAUUCCGGUAAAGGAUGGGGAUGCGUUCCAUUAGGUUGUUGGUGAGGUAACGGCUCACCAAGCCUUCGAUGGAUAGGGGUUCUGAGAGGAAGGUCCCCCACAUUGGAACUGAGACACGGUCCAAACUCCUACGGGAGGCAGCAGUGAGGAAUAUUGGUCAAUGGGCGCUAGCCUGAACCAGCCAAGUAGCGUGAAGGAUGAAGGCUCUAUGGGUCGUAAACUUCUUUUAUAUAAGAAUAAAGUGCAGUAUGUAUACUGUUUUGUAUGUAUUAUAUGAAUAAGGAUCGGCUAACUCCGUGCCAGCAGCCGCGGUAAUACGGAGGAUCCGAGCGUUAUCCGGAUUUAUUGGGUUUAAAGGGAGCGUAGGUGGACUGGUAAGUCAGUUGUGAAAGUUUGCGGCUCAACCGUAAAAUUGCAGUUGAUACUGUCAGUCUUGAGUACAGUAGAGGUGGGCGGAAUUCGUGGUGUAGCGGUGAAAUGCUUAGAUAUCACGAAGAACUCCGAUUGCGAAGGCAGCUCACUGGACUGCAACUGACACUGAUGCUCAAAGGUGUGGGUAUCAAGCAGG
RNAcentral lists this ribosomal RNA (758 nucleotides) under uncultured bacterium. RNAcentral's name for it is "bacterial SSU rRNA". It matches the Rfam family "Bacterial small subunit ribosomal RNA", at positions 28 to 776 of the family's 1533-position model. The record is from RNAcentral.